RNAcentral lists this ribosomal RNA (465 nucleotides) under uncultured bacterium. Its description in RNAcentral is "partial 16S ribosomal RNA". It matches the Rfam family "Bacterial small subunit ribosomal RNA", at positions 28 to 507 of the family's 1533-position model. The record is from RNAcentral.
GAUGAACGCUGGCGGCGUGCUUAACACAUGCAAGUCGAACGGAAAGGCCACAGCUUGCUGUGGUACUCGAGUGGCGAACGGGUGAGUAACACGUGGGUGAUCUGCCCUGUACUUCGGGAUAAGCUUGGGAAACUGGGUCUAAUACCGGAUAGGAAUCACAUGUGGGUGUGUGGUUGGAAAGCUUUUGCGGUAUGGGAUGAGCUCGCGGCCUAUCAGCUUGUUGGUGGGGUAAUGGCCUACCAAGGCGUCGACGGGUAGCCGGCCUGAGAGGGUGUACGGCCACAUUGGGACUGAGAUACGGCCCAGACUCCUACGGGAGGCAGCAGUGGGGAAUAUUGCACAAUGGGCGCAAGCCUGAUGCAGCGACGCCGCGUGGGGAUGACGGCCUUCGGGUUGUAAACUCCUUUCGUCAGGGACGAAGCGAAAGUGACGGUACCUGGAUAAGAAGCACCGGCUAACUACGUG